GGAUUAGUGGCGAACGGGUGAGUAACACGUGAGUAACCUGCCCUUGACUCUGGGAUAAGCCUGGGAAACUGGGUCUAAUACUGGAUAUGACCGACUAUCGCAUGGUGGUUGGUGGAAAGCUUUUGUGGUUUUGGAUGGACUCGCGGCCUAUCAGCUUGUUGGUGGGGUAAUGGCCUACCAAGGCGACGACGGGUAGCCGGCCUGAGAGGGUGGACGGCCACACUGGGACUGAGACACGGCCCAGACUCCUACGGGAGGCAGCAGUGGGGAAUAUUGCACAAUGGGCGCAAGCCUGAUGCAGCGACGCCGCGUGAGGGAUGAAGGCCUUCGGGUUGUAAACCUCUUUCAGUAGGGAAGAAGCGAAAGUGACGGUACCUGCAGAAGAAGCGCCGGCUAACUACGUGCCAGCAGCCGCGGUAAUACGUAGGGCGCAAGCGUUAUCCGGAAUUAUUGGGCGUAAAGAGCUCGUAGGCGGUUUGUCGCGUCUGCCGUGAAAGUCCGGGGCUUAACUCCGGAUCUGCGGUGGGUACGGGCAGACUUGAGUGAUGUAGGGGAGACUGGAAUUCCUGGUGUAGCGGUGAAAUGCGCAGAUAUCAGGAGGAACACCGAUGGCGAAGGCAGGUCUCUGGGCAUUAACUGACGCUGAGGAGCGAAAGCAUGGGGAGCGAACAGGAUUAGAUACCCUGGUAGUCCAUGCCGUAAACGUUGGGCACUAGGUGUGGGGGACAUUCCACGUUUUCCGCGCCGUAGCUAACGCAUUAAGUGCCCCGCCUGGGGAGUACGGCCGCAAGGCUAAAACUCAAAGGAAUUGACGGGGGCCCGCACAAGCGGCGGAGCAUGCGGAUUAAUUCGAUGCAACGCGAAGAACCUUACCAAGGCUUGACAUGAACCGGAACGGCGCAGAGAUGUGUCGGCCACUUGUGGCCGGUUUACAGGUGGUGC
Molecule: ribosomal RNA, 942 nt
Filed under: Arthrobacter parietis
Lineage: Bacteria; Bacillati; Actinomycetota; Actinomycetes; Micrococcales; Micrococcaceae
Description: bacterial SSU rRNA
Rfam family: Bacterial small subunit ribosomal RNA
Source: RNAcentral